RNAcentral lists this ribosomal RNA (505 nucleotides) under uncultured bacterium. RNAcentral's name for it is "partial 16S ribosomal RNA". It matches the Rfam family "Bacterial small subunit ribosomal RNA", at positions 28 to 507 of the family's 1533-position model. The record is from RNAcentral.
GACGAACGCUGGCGGCGUGCCUAAUACAUGCAAGUAGAACGCACAGUUUAUACCGUAGCUUGCUACACCAUAGACUGUGAGUUGCGAACGGGUGAGUAACGCGUAGGUAACCUGCCUGGUAGCGGGGGAUAACUAUUGGAAACGAUAGCUAAUACCGCAUAAUAUUAAUUAUUGCAUGAUAAUUAAUUGAAAGGUGCAAUUGCACCACUACCAGAUGGACCUGCGUUGUAUUAGCUAGUAGGUGAGGUAACGGCUCACCUAGGCGACGAUACAUAGCCGACCUGAGAGGGUGAUCGGCCACACUGGGACUGAGACACGGCCCAGACUCCUACGGGACGCAGCAGUAGGGAAGAUUCGGCAAUGGACGAAAGUCUGACCGAGCAACGCCGCGUGAGUGAAGAAGGUUUUCGGAUCGUAAAGCUCUGUUGUAAGGGAAGAACGGGUGUGAGAGUGGAAAGUUCACACUGUGACGGUAUCUUACCAGAAAGGGACGGCUAACUACGUG